CUGUGUAAAGAGAAAACACUAAAUGAACUAAGGAUUCAUAAAUUGAUUGAAGAGAAAUAACAUUAAAAGAAGCAAGAACUUGUCAAUUGAUUAAAGGAAAGGCAAUCAACUGAAAUAUAGCAGACAUACGAAUAAAAUGCAUUUUGUAGCCUAAAUUACAGAUAUUAAUAUGCCAUCUCCCCAAGAACUAUCUGAAGAAGGACAAAUAAGCACACCCCUGCUAAUAUAUAAUUUAGAAGGUGUAAGUAUUAUGAAAUAAUUAAUUCCAGUAGGCCUUCAUAAACCUCUCCCCACCAAACCGUCCCUCUAUGUGUACGGAGUAACUGCCACUUAAUACGUGUGUCAACCAUGGCUGUAGGCACAAUAUUCAUAAUGAGCAGCUACAACUACUACUUGAUGCACACAUUUCGCCCAAAGCACUAACCCGAACAUGUACUGCCGAAAACAGGGGACACACAUGUUUGCCCAAUCAGCAAACAGAAAGCAAAUCACCAGGGUAAACAUAAGCAAACAAGAACAUGCUACUAUUAAUGCAAUUAACAAGCACCAACCAUUGGUUCUUUCUAACCAGAUCAAGUUAAUUGCAUGUGAGAAUAGCACAUCUGUUCUGAAAGUAGGAUCUUCUGUGUAAAGAGAAAACACUAAAUGAACUAAGGAUUCAUAAAUUGAUUGAAGAGAAAUAACAUUAAAAGAAGCAAGAACUUGUCAAUUGAUUGAAGGAAAAGCAAUCAACUGAAAUAUAGCAGACAUACGAAUAAAAUGCAUUUUGUAGCCUAAAUUAUAGAUAUUAAUAUGCCAUCUCCCCAAGAACUAUCUGAAGAGGGACAAAUAAGCACACCCCUGCUAAUAUAUAAUUUAGAAGGUGUAAGUAUUAUGAAAUAAUUAAUUCCAGUAGGCCUUCAUAAACCUCUCCCCACCAA
RNAcentral lists this long non-coding RNA (920 nucleotides) under Triticum aestivum (bread wheat). RNAcentral's name for it is "long non-coding RNA (TAES_LNC002843)". Lineage: Eukaryota; Viridiplantae; Streptophyta; Magnoliopsida; Poales; Poaceae. The record is from RNAcentral.